Molecule: unclassified non-coding RNA, 2596 nt
Filed under: Hevea brasiliensis (rubber tree)
Lineage: Eukaryota; Viridiplantae; Streptophyta; Magnoliopsida; Malpighiales; Euphorbiaceae
Source: RNAcentral
GUUAUAUUCCAUGUAUGUUUAUCCACCAAAUAGGGUUCUUCACAACAUCUAGUUUUAAAGCAAGUUCAAUGUGGAUGAGAGUAGCAAACUAUCUCCUCAGCAUACAAAGGUAAGUAACAGUACUUAUACACUUGAUGAAGGACUGAGGAAUGUCUAUACCCAUCUCCUCAGCAACAGGAUAGAAAGGUGCACUGUAGGCCAGAAAGACAUCAAUGGCUACAAAAAUUUUAAAACUAAGAUGGUAGAUAAGCCCUAAGAUAACCUUUCUUCAAACAGAUUGGACUGGAAAUUCAUCAUACUAACUGUUUGCAUUCUUCAUUUUUUGGCUAAAGGAACAUGACAGAUAAAUGAGAUAAACUCAUGAAAUACCCUAAGAAAAGCUGAUAACCCUUUUCCCAAUAAAUUGAACAUCUCCAAUAACUAACAAAUUUCUUCAUAAAUUGCCAAUUUCAAAACAUUGUUUGGUCUUGACAAGUAAACUGCAGCACUUCCAUAUGCAAAAUCUAGCAAAAAUCAUAGGCCUAGAUAGGUAAGUGCACUAAACCAUAACAGUCCUCCUGGUUGCCUAUGACUUCAUGACUAAAUUCCUCAUCAUCCUACUCUUUGUGCAUUGUUAUUGGUUCCCAAACAAUUCCAUCUCUAGUUGAGCAAAUUCAUCAUCCUCUUGCUUCUGUUGUUGUGACUCAUCUUCAACUAGUUGCAGUUCCAAUUGUCGACCAAAUUCAUCAUCAUCUUGCUUUUCAUGAUGUUCAAGCUGUUGCCCUUGUGCUGGAGUGGUGUGCUGGUUCAAUCCUGUUUGCUGAUAGAAUGCUUCUCUUUGGAAAUUCCAGGACCCUGUGAUGUUCUCCACUACAUCUCCAAUCAAUUCUUUAUCAUCUGAUAUGUGCUGUAUAUUUUGGACGUCUACCACUUUGCUGGCCUCUUUCAAAAGAAAUUAAGUUGCUUAAUUGUGUGAAGAUAAUGUGGGAUUCCAAAAAUUGCUGAAGCUAUGUGAAAGAAUAAUCUGACAUUUUUUUCUUUUCAAAAUUUUGUCAAAUUCCAUCCACAGUAAUUACAUAAAUUGAUGCAUAAUUAUCCUAUAAUUGCUAAACUAGAGGGGGAUGUGGGAAUGAAGUGAAAACAAUGAACAUACCUUGGAUGGCUUGCUUCUUGGCCUCUGCAUAUUCUGUUGAUGUUUUCUUCAGUGUGUUAAAAUCUAAUUCCAUACCCAAGUCCAUGUGGAGGAAUUGUUCAAUGCGAGUAUUAGCAAAUAACUUCUUAUAUGCAAGUUGCACACGGGCAUUCUGCAACUCUGUGAGUUGAUUCACUGUCUGAGAAACAGAGGCUGCAUUUAAGUCCACAAACCCAAAGAGAAAGACGUUCUUCUCCAGCAUUCUGUUGACCAAUGUGGGUACAACUUUUAUACCCUGCUCUUUUGCAUCAAUGACAAGGAUCUUAAGUUUCUUCAGUUCUCCUGUCAGAUUAGACAUGGAAGAAAGAUGAAUGGGAAAAAUAAAGGACAAGUUUUAGCAAGCAUAUAACUCAAUUACUAAAGAUUCAACAUAAUUAAAACAAAUAAGAAGCCUCGAAAAGGGGGAAAAAAGCCAAUAAGCAUGUUCAAAUUGCAAUUAUGAACCUAAAAUCAACUGAUGAAAGAAAAUUCAUCAUAUUGAUGUUGUAAACACAGUGAGGAAAACUUUUUUCCCCUGCUGAAUACAAGGUAAGGGUGAUGGCAGAUUUUGUGAAACUAAUAUCGAAUAAAUCACAACAAUGCUCAGUUACCCCCUUAUCAAACAAAUUGUAAAAGUUCAAAUUUACAUUAUAAUACCAGUAUGUGUUAAUGGAAUAAUGGGCCAAAAGCCACACAGAUACUCUCUAAUAAACAAUUUUUAUGUCUAACAUAAACAGUCAAAGAAUUAAUUAAAAAGCCAAAUUGUAUAUCAUUUUCCUUCCAUAAAUGUAAAGAAAGUAGAAAAAUCACUUCACAUUAUGAAUGAUAGACAGUUAUCAAAAUAAAUUCUCAACUCCAAGCUCACACAAUAUAAGUUUCAUGCAGUAAAUACAAACUUACCAAGAGAGAGAUAGAUUUUAAAAGGAGGCUUGAAUGGUUGAGUCUCAUAUAGGCAGUAAAGGCAAUAUAGCCCACCUAGUCUUUUAGACAAAGAACCAGUACUGACCAUGUAACCUAUAGUAUGAGCAUACAGUGAUUGCAUAAAGAAAGCCAUAUUGGUGGAAGGAAUAGCGUCAAAGAUAUAAGUGAACUUCCUAGUGAGCCACACUUUCUUCAUAUCAGCAAAAGUUGUUGAUUCACCCUCAACAAAUUCAUUUAUGAGCUCAUCAAUGUCCUGCUUGAAUGGAGACAGACCCAUUUGAGAAUUGAAGAUUUCUGAAAUUGCAAAAUCGAAGCGCUUGCUAAUAGCAGACUGAAGAGAAAGAAAAACAACGAUAAAGGGUUUAAGCUAAAGCAGGUAAUCAAUUAGAGGUUUUAAUAUCGACGAUUAGGGAUUUUCUGAUCGGAGAUUCACUGGCUACAAUUGAACGAACAGCGGCCGUGAGUGUGGAGUCAGGCUGAAAAAUUUGAGAGAGAAUUUCUUCUUCAGAUGAGGGGACAGGAAUU